GGGUUGUGAGGUUAAGCGACUAAGCGUACACGGUGGAUGCCCUGGCAGUCAGAGGCGAUGAAGGACGUGCUAAUCUGCGAUAAGCGUCGGUAAGGUGAUAUGAACCGUUAUAACCGGCGAUUUCCGAAUGGGGAAACCCAGUGUGUUUCGACACACUAUCAUUAACUGAAUCCAUAGGUUAAUGAGGCGAACCGGGGGAACUGAAACAUCUAAGUACCCCGAGGAAAAGAAAUCAACCGAGAUUCCCCCAGUAGCGGCGAGCGAACGGGGAGCAGCCCAGAGCCUGAAUCAGUGUGUGUGUUAGUGGAAGCGUCUGGAAAGGCGCGCGAUACAGGGUGACAGCCCCGUACACAAAAAUGCACAUGCUGUGAGCUCGAUGAGUAGGGCGGGACACGUGGUAUCCUGUCUGAAUAUGGGGGGACCAUCCUCCAAGGCUAAAUACUCCUGACUGACCGAUAGUGAACCAGUACCGUGAGGGAAAGGCGAAAAGAACCCCGGCGAGGGGAGUGAAAAAGAACCUGAAACCGUGUACGUACAAGCAGUGGGAGCACGCUUAGGCGUGUGACUGCGUACCUUUUGUAUAAUGGGUCAGCGACUUAUAUUCUGUAGCAAGGUUAACCGAAUAGGGGAGCCGAAGGGAAACCGAGUCUUAACUGGGCGUUAAGUUGCAGGGUAUAGACCCGAAACCCGGUGAUCUAGCCAUGGGCAGGUUGAAGGUUGGGUAACACUAACUGGAGGACCGAACCGACUAAUGUUGAAAAAUUAGCGGAUGACUUGUGGCUGGGGGUGAAAGGCCAAUCAAACCGGGAGAUAGCUGGUUCUCCCCGAAAGCUAUUUAGGUAGCGCCUCGUGAAUUCAUCUCCGGGGGUAGAGCACUGUUUCGGCAAGGGGGUCAUCCCGACUUACCAACCCGAUGCAAACUGCGAAUACCGGAGAAUGUUAUCACGGGAGACACACGGCGGGUGCUAACGUCCGUCGUGAAGAGGGAAACAACCCAGACCGCCAGCUAAGGUCCCAAAGUCAUGGUUAAGUGGGAAACGAUGUGGGAAGGCCCAGACAGCCAGGAUGUUGGCUUAGAAGCAGCCAUCAUUUAAAGAAAGCGUAAUAGCUCACUGGUCGAGUCGGCCUGCGCGGAAGAUGUAACGGGGCUAAACCAUGCACCGAAGCUGCGGCAGCGACGCUGAUGCGUUGUUGGGUAGGGGAGCGUUCUGUAAGCCUGCGAAGGUGUGCUGUGAGGCAUGCUGGAGGUAUCAGAAGUGCGAAUGCUGACAUAAGUAACGAUAAAGCGGGUGAAAAGCCCGCUCGCCGGAAGACCAAGGGUUCCUGUCCAACGUUAAUCGGGGCAGGGUGAGUCGACCCCUAAGGCGAGGCCGAAAGGCGUAGUCGAUGGGAAACAGGUUAAUAUUCCUGUACUUGGUGUUACUGCGAAGGGGGGACGGAGAAGGCUAUGUUGGCCGGGCGACGGUUGUCCCGGUUUAAGCGUGUAGGCUGGUUUUCCAGGCAAAUCCGGAAAAUCAAGGCUGAGGCGUGAUGACGAGGCACUACGGUGCUGAAGCAACAAAUGCCCUGCUUCCAGGAAAAGCCUCUAAGCAUCAGGUAACAUCAAAUCGUACCCCAAACCGACACAGGUGGUCAGGUAGAGAAUACCAAGGCGCUUGAGAGAACUCGGGUGAAGGAACUAGGCAAAAUGGUGCCGUAACUUCGGGAGAAGGCACGCUGAUAUGUAGGUGAAGUCCCUCGCGGAUGGAGCUGAAAUCAGUCGAAGAUACCAGCUGGCUGCAACUGUUUAUUAAAAACACAGCACUGUGCAAACACGAAAGUGGACGUAUACGGUGUGACGCCUGCCCGGUGCCGGAAGGUUAAUUGAUGGGGUCAGCGCAAGCGAAGCUCUUGAUCGAAGCCCCGGUAAACGGCGGCCGUAACUAUAACGGUCCUAAGGUAGCGAAAUUCCUUGUCGGGUAAGUUCCGACCUGCACGAAUGGCGUAAUGAUGGCCAGGCUGUCUCCACCCGAGACUCAGUGAAAUUGAACUCGCUGUGAAGAUGCAGUGUACCCGCGGCAAGACGGAAAGACCCCGUGAACCUUUACUAUAGCUUGACACUGAACAUUGAGCCUUGAUGUGUAGGAUAGGUGGGAGGCUUUGAAGUGUGGACGCCAGUCUGCAUGGAGCCGACCUUGAAAUACCACCCUUUAAUGUUUGAUGUUCUAACGUGGACCCGUGAUCCGGGUUGCGGACAGUGUCUGGUGGGUAGUUUGACUGGGGCGGUCUCCUCCUAAAGAGUAACGGAGGAGCACGAAGGUUGGCUAAUCCUGGUCGGACAUCAGGAGGUUAGUGCAAUGGCAUAAGCCAGCUUGACUGCGAGCGUGACGGCGCGAGCAGGUGCGAAAGCAGGUCAUAGUGAUCCGGUGGUUCUGAAUGGAAGGGCCAUCGCUCAACGGAUAAAAGGUACUCCGGGGAUAACAGGCUGAUACCGCCCAAGAGUUCAUAUCGACGGCGGUGUUUGGCACCUCGAUGUCGGCUCAUCACAUCCUGGGGCUGAAGUAGGUCCCAAGGGUAUGGCUGUUCGCCAUUUAAAGUGGUACGCGAGCUGGGUUUAGAACGUCGUGAGACAGUUCGGUCCCUAUCUGCCGUGGGCGCUGGAGAACUGAGGGGGGCUGCUCCUAGUACGAGAGGACCGGAGUGGACGCAUCACUGGUGUUCGGGUUGUCAUGCCAAUGGCACUGCCCGGUAGCUAAAUGCGGAAGAGAUAAGUGCUGAAAGCAUCUAAGCACGAAACUUGCCCCGAGAUGAGUUCUCCCUGACUCCUUGAGAGUCCUGAAGGAACGUUGAAGACGACGACGUUGAUAGGCCGGGUGUGUAAGCGCAGCGAUGCGUUGAGCUAACCGGUACUAAUGAACCGUGAGGCUUAACCUUACAACGCCGAAGCUGUU
RNAcentral lists this ribosomal RNA (2930 nucleotides) under Escherichia coli. Its description in RNAcentral is "bacterial LSU rRNA". It matches the Rfam family "Bacterial large subunit ribosomal RNA". Lineage: Bacteria; Pseudomonadati; Pseudomonadota; Gammaproteobacteria; Enterobacterales; Enterobacteriaceae. The record is from RNAcentral.